CUCAAUCUCCUCUCUUGUUCCUCAGAGGCAAAGUGAUUCUGGAGCUCUAAAAGAUUAAUAGCCCUCAAGAAGAAAUGAAUCAGGUGCUCUUCAGGGCCUGACUCCAGCGACGGCUGUACAAAUAGAAGUGCUUUUGUGCACGUGUCUUCUCACACUGCCGACCAUGUCGUCUGGUGGUGCUUGGCGCACCCUUUUGUGACAGUGGGAACGUGUCAGGUCGUUCCAGGCCUGGCCAGACAAGAGACAAGAACCAAACAAAUCCUACCAUCACCAUAAGGGAAAAUGACUGUGCGGCUGCGCUUGGUUGAUUCCCUCUAAUUGAUUGUACGCUGGUUCACCUUUCAGUGAUGUGGAACUUCCAGAAAUGCUGUUCAUCUGGAGGAGAGUUUGCUUGUGGGAGGCUGGAAACCCCUGAUCUGCUGACAUAAGAAUCCAUGUAUUGCAUUUAAAAUUCUAUUAGCAUAAUAUGAGCAGGCGCUUGGGGAUAUGAUGCUGAGAUAGAGUACA
Long non-coding RNA from Syngnathoides biaculeatus (alligator pipefish), 507 nucleotides. RefSeq lists it as uncharacterized. The transcript has 3 exons. The record is from RefSeq and is a predicted model, not a curated record. Lineage: Eukaryota; Metazoa; Chordata; Actinopteri; Syngnathiformes; Syngnathidae.